AUUGAACGCUGGCGGCAUGCCUUACACAUGCAAGUCGAACGGUAACAGGUCUUCGGAUGCUGACGAGUGGCGAACGGGUGAGUAAUGCAUCGGAACGUGCCCAGUAGUGGGGGAUAGCCCGGCGAAAGCCGGAUUAAUACCGCAUACGACCUGAGGGUGAAAGGGGGGGAUCGCAAGACCUCUCGCUAUUGGAGCGGCCGAUGUCAGAUUAGCUAGUUGGUGGGGUAAAGGCCUACCAAGGCAACGAUCUGUAGUUGGUCUGAGAGGACGACCAGCCACACUGGGACUGAGACACGGCCCAGACUCCUACGGGAGGCAGCAGUGGGGAAUUUUGGACAAUGGGCGCAAGCCUGAUCCAGCAAUGCCGCGUGCAGGAAGAAGGCCUUCGGGUUGUAAACUGCUUUUGUCAGGGAAGAAAUCUUCUGGGUUAAUACCCCGGGAGGAUGACGGUAUUUAAAGAAUA
This 463-nucleotide ribosomal RNA is filed under the name Comamonadaceae bacterium oral taxon B76. Its description in RNAcentral is "bacterial SSU rRNA". It matches the Rfam family "Bacterial small subunit ribosomal RNA", at positions 30 to 488 of the family's 1533-position model. Lineage: Bacteria; Pseudomonadati; Pseudomonadota; Betaproteobacteria; Burkholderiales; Comamonadaceae. The record is from RNAcentral.